UACGUAGGGUCCGAGCGUUGUCCGGAAUUAUUGGGCGUAAAGAGCUCGUAGGCGGUCUGUUGCGUCGGCUGUGAAAACCCGGGGCUCAACUCCGGGCCUGCAGUCGAUACGGGCAGUCUAGAGUUCGGUAGGGGAGACUGGAAUUCCUGGUGUAGCGGUGAAAUGCGCAGAUAUCAGGAGGAACACCGGUGGCGAAGGCGGGUCUCUGGGCCGAAACUGACGCUGAGGAGCGAAAGCGUGGGGAGCGAACAGG
Molecule: ribosomal RNA, 253 nt
Filed under: uncultured bacterium
Lineage: Bacteria
Description: partial 16S ribosomal RNA
Rfam family: Bacterial small subunit ribosomal RNA
Source: RNAcentral